RNAcentral lists this transfer RNA (71 nucleotides) under Stegodyphus mimosarum. It matches the Rfam family "tRNA". Rfam says of the family: Transfer RNA (tRNA) molecules are approximately 80 nucleotides in length. Their secondary structure includes four short double-helical elements and three loops (D, anti-codon, and T loops). Lineage: Eukaryota; Metazoa; Arthropoda; Arachnida; Araneae; Eresidae. The record is from Rfam by way of RNAcentral.
GCCUAUGUGGUGUAACGGUAGCACACUUGGCGCGUAUUCAAGAGGUUCAGGUUCGAGUCCCGGCGCGGGCA